This 406-nucleotide ribosomal RNA is filed under the name uncultured bacterium. RNAcentral's name for it is "partial 16S ribosomal RNA". It matches the Rfam family "Bacterial small subunit ribosomal RNA", at positions 30 to 526 of the family's 1533-position model. The record is from RNAcentral.
AUUGAACGCUGGCGGCAGGCCUAACACAUGCAAGUCGAACGAGUGGCGGACGGGUGAGUAAUGUCUGGGAAACUGCCUGAUGGAGGGGGAUAACUACUGGAAACGGUAGCUAAUACCGCAUACCAUCAGAUGUGCCCAGAUGGGAUUAGCUUGUUGGUGGGGUAACGGCUCACCAAGGCGACGAUCCCUAGCUGGUCUGAGAGGAGGACCCUCCCCACUGGAAUUGUGACCCGGUGCAGACUCCUAUGGGAGGCAGCAGUGGGGUAGAUUGCACAAUGGGCGCUAGCCUGAUGAAGCCAUGCCGCGUGUAUGAAGAAGGCCUUCGGGUUGUAAAGUACUUGCAGCGGGGAGGCGUUACCCGCAGAAUAAGCACCGGCUAACUCCGUGCCAGCCGCCGCGGUAAUUC